GACGUAGGGUGCGAGCGUUGUCCGGAUUUACUGGGCGUAAAGAGCGCGUAGGCGGCUCGUUAAGUGUGAAGUGAAAUCUCCAGGGCUCAACCCGGAAACUGCUUUACAUACUGGCGAGCUAGAGGAAUGCAGAGGUUGGUGGAAUUCCUGGUGUAGCGGUGAAAUGCGUUGAUAUCAGGAGGAACACCCAUGGCGAAGGCAGCUAACUGGGC
This 212-nucleotide ribosomal RNA is filed under the name uncultured bacterium. RNAcentral describes it as "partial 16S ribosomal RNA". It matches the Rfam family "Bacterial small subunit ribosomal RNA", at positions 524 to 734 of the family's 1533-position model. The record is from RNAcentral.